RNAcentral lists this transfer RNA (65 nucleotides) under Amynthas divergens. RNAcentral describes it as "tRNA-Ile". The record is from RNAcentral. Lineage: Eukaryota; Metazoa; Annelida; Clitellata; Crassiclitellata; Megascolecidae.
GGCAUAGCGCCGGAUGAACGGAUAACUCUGAUGACGUUAAUUAAGGAGCGCGCCUCCCUAUGCCU